CAUCAGCAGCCUGAAUCUCCUGCCAGGCUACAGCAGCUUAAACACCCGGUGUCCUGGGUGUGAGAAAUCCUGUAGAACAGCGGUCCCCGACCCCCGGGCCGGUCCGUGAGUUGUUUGGUACCGGGCCACGAGAGUUGAGUGAUGACGGGGACGGAGAUGGGAAGGAGGACGGAGACAGGAAGAACGUUCCGGCCGGAACGUCAGAACACAGUUGCUUUUAUAUACCAAGUUUAUAUGCUGUUUAUUUAGCAUUUAACCUUCUGUUAGUUUGAGCCAGCCCGCCGAUAUCAUCCAAUUAGUAAGGUGGGCAGUAGUGUCGGAUGAGCGGCAAGCUUCUUCUAUACUCUGGGACAAUUUGGCAGCAACCCAGGUACCAAGACAGUUAUAGAAUUUACAUUUUUGACAGUGAGCAAACACUGGACAACAAUCAGCCAGCUGUUUACUUUCUUGUAAAGAAACUCACUAUAAA
Oreochromis niloticus (Nile tilapia) is the source of this 469-nucleotide long non-coding RNA. RefSeq lists it as uncharacterized. The transcript is spliced from 2 exons. The record is from RefSeq and is a predicted model, not a curated record. NCBI's taxonomy places the organism in Eukaryota, Metazoa, Chordata, Actinopteri, Cichliformes, Cichlidae.